Molecule: ribosomal RNA, 730 nt
Filed under: uncultured bacterium
Lineage: Bacteria
Description: bacterial SSU rRNA
Rfam family: Bacterial small subunit ribosomal RNA
Source: RNAcentral
AUGCAAGUCGAGGGGGCAGCAAUGUCACCGGCGAACGGGUGCGUAACGCGUAUGCAACCUGGCCAUAUCAGGGGGAUAGCCCUAGGAAACUGGGAUUAAUACCGCAUAAUACGGUGAUUGGCAUCAAUUGCUGUUGAAAGAUUUAUUGGAUAUGGAUGGGCAUGCGUAGGAUUAGUUAGUUGGUGGGGUAACGGCUCACCAAGGCGAUGAUCCUUAGGGGCUCUGAGAGGAGUAUCCCCCACACUGGCACUGAGAUACGGGCCAGACUCCUACGGGAGGCAGCAGUAGGGAAUAUUGGGCAAUGGAGGCAACUCUGACCCAGCCAUGCCGCGUGCAGGAAGACGGUCCUCUGGAUUGUAAACUGCUUUUGAAUGGGAAGAACAGUACCCUUGCGAGGGUAUUUGACGGUACUAUUAGAAUAAGCACCGGCUAACUCCGUGCCAGCAGCCGCGGUAAUACGGAGGGUGCAAGCGUUAUCCGGAUUUAUUGGGUUUAAAGGGUGCGUAGGCGGCUUUGUAAGUCUGGGGUUAAAGGCGGCAGCUUAACUGUACGCAUGCCCUGGAAACUGUGAAGCUUGAGUAAUUUGGAGGUAGCUAGAAUUCCCUGUGUAGCGGUGAAAUGCAUAGAUACGGGGAGGAAUACCGAUUGCGAAGGCAUGUUACUACGAAUUAACUGACGCUGAUGCACGAAAGCGUGGGGAUCAAACAGGAUUAGAUACCCUGGUAGUCCA